Molecule: ribosomal RNA, 474 nt
Filed under: uncultured bacterium
Lineage: Bacteria
Description: bacterial SSU rRNA
Rfam family: Bacterial small subunit ribosomal RNA
Source: RNAcentral
CUCUGUGACUCCUACGGGAGGCAGCAGUGGGGAAUAUUGCACAAUGGGCGCAAGCCUGAUGCAGCCAUGCCGCGUGUAUGAAGAAGGCCUUCGGGUUGUAAAGUACUUUCAGCAGUGAGGAAGGUGGUGCAGUUAAUAGCUGUAUCAUUUGACGUUAGCUGCAGAAGAAGCACCGGCUAACUCCGUGCCAGCAGCCGCGGUAAUACGGAGGGUGCGAGCGUUAAUCGGAAUUACUGGGCGUAAAGCGCAUGCAGGUGGUUUGUUAAGUCAGAUGUGAAAGCCCCGGGGCUCAACCUCGGAAUUGCAUUUGAAACUGGCAGACUAGAGUACUGUAGAGGGGGUAGAAUUUCAGGUGUAGCGGUGAAAUGCGUAGAGAUCUGAAGGAAUACCGGUGGCGAAGGCGGCCCCCCUGGACAGAUACUGACACUCAGAUGCGAAAGCGUGGGGAGCAAACAGGAUUAGAUACCCUGGUAA